ACAAGUCACUUCAUCUGAAGGGCUAGGUGUUGGGCUGGACUUUCCUCCCCCAUGCUCUCCUCCAGUAAGAGCCACAAACCAGCUGCCUUUACACAAACCCUUCCCCUUGAGGGCUGUAUUAUCACGGCAAGAGUUUAGAGAAGAGGGACGUUCCUGGCAUAUUCAUUUUUAACCCCGAUACAUUCCAGUCUUGUUCUGGGCCACUUAACUGCAGAUGUGUGUCUGACAGGACACACAGAUGACUGAACUGAACUAAUGACAGCUGAGUUACAGGGCUGGGCAUUCGGAGACAGAGAACGUGAGAGCGUGGCAAGCACGGGCGAGCACCAGCUGGGCACGUGGGCGAGAGCUGCCAGGCAUCAUAAGGAGAGCAGCGUGAACGCUCGCGGGGAUGCCAGAGGAAAUGCAGAUGAAGAGAAAAGAAGAAUUAUCUAUCCAAGAAGGAACUUUGAAACAGAACCAGGAUCUCAUCAUUUCUGGACACCUACUGAGAGGAGAUCUUGUGAGCACAGAAAAUUCCUCACUGUAGGAUCUCUUUUGCCUCCUACACCAUGCUAAGGCAGCACCCUACUUUUAUACCUGAAACACCUCACAUGAUCUAUAUACCAAUCUAAGGAAGCUACCGUUAGACGUAGGUACAUACUUUAUGCUUUCAAAUCUAAAUAUUCCCCAAGUCUCCUGCAUUUUGGAUUCCCUGACUUACUCUUCCGGUGGUAAAGAUCCUGCCAACAUGGUGAUAUGUCUUUCUGCUCCAACCCAGAUACAUAACUUGUUCCUUUCGGCCAUAUCAAAGACAUACACGCUACAUUAAUGCUAAAUUAUAUUCACAGUUCAAACUGUGAAAAAGAUUUACUAUUCAAAGAAGUAAAGCCAGGGACCAUAUCCAAGAUACAAAUCUAGAUGCUAGUUCAAAACUGAAACAUGCAAGUAUUUUGGGUUGUCAACACCUUAGGGUUUGGUUUAUACUUAUCUUUAACCAAAAUACUGCCAUUUUCCCCUGCAGCUUUAAAAAUGGAAGAAAGGAAGAGAAGAUACCGGUUAUCUUCCUAAUUGCUUCUUUGUAGCAGUCAUCUGCACAGGAAAUAAUACUGGGAUAUGCCAUGGGCUUUAAGAGAAUUAGAUGCUCUCUGUGCACAGAAAGUCACUGGCUCUGGAUGGCUAACUCCAUCGGGCUAUCUGGAAAAUCCCAGCUAAGUAGCAACUCUCAGCAGUGCUGGGAAAAGGAAAUGAGAAAGAAUACGAUGGUCUAAUGGUACCACUAAGAAAUAGCAACUGCCCUCAGUGUUGGCAGGAACUAGAGGGAGCACCAUUUCAGAAGCAUCGAGGGAACAAACAGGCAGGGUAUCUGGUGAUUCUUGCUGUCAGCAUGUGGCAUCAGAGGCCAUGAAUACACAACAUCUGGCAGACACAGAGAAGGGAAGGCCAUGCCUGGGUAGUUUUCGAGCCUGGGCUGUGUUUGGGUACAUGGAUGAGCGACCACCACCACACAGCAAGGGCUGCGGUGUUUUCCAGCCAUGAAGCAGAAGGUGCCAUGCUGCAGAGCUCUCCUGCUGAAGAGCCCUAGACAGAAGAACUCCCUGCAGGGUGGAGAGUUCAUGAGAGCUGUCAAUACUUCACUGUGCCAAGUGCAAAAAGAAACCUGACCACCUCUGCUUAUGUGCAGUAAAAUCAGAUUGGUUUCCAAGAUACUGACUUUCUUCUGAUUCUGGACAUCAUCGGUAUGACCUCCCUCACUGAUUCACACUUCAUAUGCCCACUACAUUCCAGCGAUUGCUGUUAAAGCCUAUUUAAAAGAAUAAAUAUUGAGCAUUGCAACUUCAUUAUUCUGUGAUCUCCACGUCAAAAAAAUUAUCAGAGCAGAGAUUCUCAUCAUUGUCUGCCUCAGGAACUUCAUUCCCUCUCCUUUAAAAAUCCUGAUUAUAGACAGCAGACUGUUUGCAAAAGUGAGAUGGUGGAAUAGAUUCCCUGUGUGAUUCCCUCAUUUUUGCAAGGCAAAGAAUGCUUUUCUCAAAUGCCAGGAGGUUCAUCAGAGAAGACUCCAUCUGCCUCGUCCAUCAUUCCCAGCAGAAACAAUCCUGCCAUUGGUAAAAGGGAUAUUUCUGAUGAUGAUGCACAAGGUGAAAGAAAAUCUCAUUCACCUUUUGUUCCACUGGGUCUGUGAGGGUAAGAGAAAUACGCAAGUGUUUACCUCUGUAAGGUAAGGAAAUGGGACCCAAAUAGAAAGAGAUACAUGCUGCUGUGUGAGUGUGUACUCACACAGUAAAACAGAGAUUAAUGGAUAAAAAUCAGACCAGCCACUACUAGGAUUUCCUAUAAAACAGAAAUCCUUUAAGAUCUCCUAAGCAGAGACAGAACUCCCACCUCCCAUGCAACCUAGGUUUAUCACUGACUUGUUGC
Columba livia (rock pigeon) is the source of this 2397-nucleotide long non-coding RNA. RefSeq lists it as uncharacterized. The transcript has 3 exons. Lineage: Eukaryota; Metazoa; Chordata; Aves; Columbiformes; Columbidae. The record is from RefSeq and is a predicted model, not a curated record.